UGACCUGUGCCCUGGGGGUCAAUGGCACCUUCGUGGUCCAGCUCCGGCACAAGUUUCCCGACUGGAGCAGCUACUGGAGUGACUGGAGCAGCAACAUCUCUGUUCCCGAGGAAAUUCUGCGGAGCCCAGUGCUGAGCCAUCAUCUGGGCAAACUGGGGAGAGAUGGGCAGCGGGUGCUGAGGCUGAGUUGGCAGCCAGUCCUCAAGGAGCAGAGGAAUGUCACCUACAAGCUGGACGUCCACAUGUUGGCGUGUGGCUGUGCAGAGUCAGAUGAGGAGGACUCUGUGGAGCUGGGCUGGGAGGAGACAGAGUACAACCUCACCCUCUCCGGGGCGGAAUACGAAAUCCUGCUGACCGCGGCCAACGCCGCGGGGCCGGGGCCGGCGCGGCAGCUCCGUGUGCCGCCAGAGCAGCGAGCGGGUACCUGCCCCUGUAGAAAUGCUGAGCUCCCCUGGCAGCUCUCAGGGCGUUAUUUCUUCCAUCCACCCCGAUUUUCCCCUGUUUCAUCCCAGAUCUCAGCUUCAAAGAGAUCAGCGUGGCAGGAGGCGCCGUGACUGCGCAGUGGGAAGCGCCGGUCCCUGGCGAUGCUUUCUGCUUCGAGCAGCAGACGCUGCCAGGGCCUCCGAAACAGGGAGUCUGCGUCCGGCAGGAAUUCCCUGCCAACAGCAGCCACGUGCAGAGCGGCAAGCCAGCCCCCCAAGCCCCCCGCUGUCCCCCCAGCUGGGGGAAGAGGGUCUAAGCAUCACCCCAAUUCCUCCCCAGGAGCGCUGGGAGCGCCGGGCUGUCACCGCCUGGCCGUGCACGGCCGGGACGAGGAGCGCGGCUGGGCCACCUUCGCCCUGUGGCACCGCUACCGCAGCAACGGUGCGUGUGCGAGCGCGGGGCAUCCGCACCUGCCUUCACUCCAUUGCGGGCUCUCCUGAAAUAAUCCCCCGCGCUUUUGCACGCAGAUUCGCUGGACGUGCCCAUCAGCAUCAGCAGCGCAGAUGUCGCGGCUGUGCUGCAGUGGACACCGUCCCCACGCGCCGCCUGUCCCGGCGCGCUGGCCAAGUACCUCAUCUGCCACUCGGCCAAGGGGGACAACGAGACCUGUGAGUGGGACCCCCAUCCCCGUGGGGCAGGAGGAGGGUGCUGCCCCCAGGCAGCCGCCAGACUGCUCCACAUUCGGUUUUGUUUGCCCAGACAGUGAAGUGAACGCCACGGCAUCAAACUACACCCUUCAAAACCUCCAGCCUGGCACAGCCUACAGGGUGAGUGUGCGGGAGGUGACAGAGGACAGCGAGGGGACCUGCAGAGUUUGGUGGCACUUCCAGACCAAGGCACUGGGUCCCCAGGGAGCAGUGUGGACAGGCAAUCUGAAGUACCUGAGCAUCUCGCUGGGUCUCCCCGCCGCAGCUGCCAUCUACCACCUGACCAAAAAGAGGGUUGGCCGCCUCCUCUUCCCACCCGUUCCCCAGCCCGUGGGCACCAAAGCCAUCCAGUUCUCGGCCGGCGAGAUGAGCCAGGGCCAGCCCCGCAGAGGCCUCCUGGAACCCUCGGAGAGGUUCAAUCCAGCCGAGCUGCUGCUGCUGACGGAGCCGAAUCCCAGCGAGGAGACGACAGACACGGGCACUCAGACUGUGGUGCCGCCGCCCGACGUGGCACAGCCCGGCCCCGCGCUGGAACAGCCGGCGGCAGUGGCGGUGACCCCGCCGGGCUGUGCGGACGAGCUGCCCUUCGCCUACCGCAGGCAGGACAUGCUGAGCCCGCUGGGAUCUCCAUCCUCCGGCAGCACCAGCUGCAGCGGGCACCCACCCGCAGAGGAGGAGGAGGAGGAGGAGGAAGAGAAGGAGGAGGAGGAGGAGGAGGAGGAAGAGAAGGAGGAGGAGGGAAGGCAAGGGCUGCACCAGCCGCUGAUCCCCAUUGCCCUGCUCAUCUCCGACAAACCCAUCAUCAUCAGGGAUGGGGAAGGAUGGGAUCCCUCGCCGCAGAAGUCGGUGCCGUAGCCAUCAGCAGGCUGGAGCAGCGGGGCUGGACGGCAGGAAGGGCGCGGGGGUGUCCCACGGAAUGCGGAUUGGCUGCGUGGGAUGCUGAGUGCCCAGCCCGUGGGUGGCACCGGCACUUCCAGGGGGUUUUCUGGUUUCCAGGACACAGAAGGCGAUGCCUCUGAAUGCAGCACUGCACCGGGACAAGUUUUGGCCACGCAAUUUGCAGCCUCAACCUUUCACCGGCGAUAAAACCCGAGCGAAAGUGGCUGCAGAGUCCGGCCAGGACCGAGGGUAUUUCCAUGCCUGGGAAGAGAGGCAGAGCUCCAUCUCAGCCGGCUGCUACCUCUGGAACCACUAUCCUGGUGGAGAUGCAAAAAGCCCCAACACCAAACACCAACUACCUGCAAAAAAAAAAAAAAAAAAAAAAAAAAAAAAAGGGGGGGGGGGGGGGGGGGGGGGAAAAAAAAAAAAAAAAAAAAAAAAAUAAAACCAGGUUUAAAAUUUUAAAUAACUGCACAAAGCAGCAGGGCCGAGAUGGUUUUUCUUCGCCUGACCCGGGCAGAUUACAGCGAGCAUUUAGAGCCGAGGUUCAACCCACGGCACUGUGGAGGACGCAGGCAGGCAGCCGGGACGGGGGUGAUCCAUGGGGCCCCCCAGCCCCUUCCCGUGGGGACAGGGGGGGGGGGGGGGGGGGGGGGGGUGAUCCAUGGGGCCCCCCCAGCCCCUUCCCGUGGGGACACGCCGCCGCCUCGGGCCUUACCUGGGACAGCACUGGAGAUGAAAAGCAAUUUGUGGUUUUGUCUGCCUGGCGCGGCGGUGUUUACUUGCUGAGAGAGCAAAAAAAAAAAAAAAAAAAAGGGGGGGGGGGGGGGGGGGGGGGGGGGGGGGGGGGGGGGGGGGGGGGGGGGGGGGGGGGGGGGGGGGGGGGGGGGGGGGGGGGGGGGGGGGGG
RNAcentral lists this long non-coding RNA (2917 nucleotides) under Ficedula albicollis (Collared flycatcher). Its description in RNAcentral is "lncRNA (ENSFALG00000027580.1)". The record is from RNAcentral. Lineage: Eukaryota; Metazoa; Chordata; Aves; Passeriformes; Muscicapidae.